Molecule: non-coding RNA, 109 nt
Organism: Acanthosepion pharaonis
Lineage: Eukaryota; Metazoa; Mollusca; Cephalopoda; Sepiida; Sepiidae
Source: the annotation of a GenBank genome assembly
UUACAGCCAUAUCAAGUUGAAACACAAGUUCUCGCACGAUCACCGAAGUUAAGCAAUACCGAGCCUGGUUAAUAUCUAGAUGGGUGGCUACUUUGGAAUACCAGGUGCU